CGGGAGCUUGCUCCUGGUGGCGAGUGGCGAACGGGUGAGUAAUGCGUCGGAACGUACCGAGUAAUGGGGGAUAACGCAGCGAAAGCUGUGCUAAUACCGCAUACGCCCUGAGGGGGAAAGCAGGGGAUCGCAAGACCUUGCGUUAUUCGAGCGGCCGACGUCUGAUUAGCUAGUUGGUGGGGUAAAGGCCUACCAAGGCGACGAUCAGUAGCGGGUCUGAGAGGAUGAUCCGCCACACUGGAACUGAGACACGGUCCAGACUCCUACGGGAGGCAGCAGUGGGGAAUUUUGGACAAUGGGGGCAACCCUGAUCCAGCCAUGCCGCGUGAGUGAAGAAGGCCUUCGGGUUGUAAAGCUCUUUCGGCCGGAACGAAAUCGCGUACGUGAAUAACGUGCGUGGAUGACGGUACUGGAAGAAGAAGCACCGGCUAACUACGUGCCAGCAGCCGCGGUAAUACGUAGGGUGCGAGCGUUAAUCGGAAUUACUGGGCGUAAAGCGUGCGUAGGCGGUUUUGUAAGUCAGAUGUGAAAUCCCCGGGCUUAACCUGGGAACUGCGUUUGAAACUACGGAGCUAGAGUGUGGCAGAGGGGGGUGGAAUUCCACGUGUAGCAGUGAAAUGCGUAGAUAUGUGGAGGAACACCGAUGGCGAAGGCAACCCCCUGGGCCAACACUGACGCUGAGGCACGAAAGCGUGGGGAGCAAACAGGAUUAGAUACCCUGGUAGUCCACGCCCUAAACUAUGUCAACUAGUUGUCGGGAA
Molecule: ribosomal RNA, 761 nt
Filed under: uncultured Pseudomonadota bacterium
Lineage: Bacteria; Pseudomonadati; Pseudomonadota
Description: bacterial SSU rRNA
Rfam family: Bacterial small subunit ribosomal RNA
Source: RNAcentral